This 129-nucleotide small RNA is filed under the name Pantoea sp. RNAcentral's name for it is "RtT sRNA". It matches the Rfam family "RtT RNA". Rfam says of the family: This family represents a bacterial cis-regulatory element known as RtT RNA. The exact function of RtT is unknown although it is thought that it may be involved in changing the cellular response in relation to amino acid starvation. RNAcentral also lists the same sequence under 1 other name. The record is from RNAcentral. Lineage: Bacteria; Pseudomonadati; Pseudomonadota; Gammaproteobacteria; Enterobacterales; Erwiniaceae.
UUUUCGCCCAUAGCAAAGAGGAUGAGAACCUCCGAAGGAGGUUUGCGCCGAGCGCAGCGAGACAACGUUGCGCAGCAACGGCCCGAAGGGCGCUUAUCGAAGAUAAGCGUCAUCCUCUCUCACCGACCA